This 286-nucleotide small nuclear RNA is filed under the name Myotis davidii. RNAcentral describes it as "7SK RNA". It matches the Rfam family "7SK RNA". From Rfam's summary of the family: 7SK was discovered as an abundant small nuclear RNA in the mid-70s but a possible function has only recently been suggested. Two independent studies have found that 7SK RNA binds the CDK9/cyclin T complex (known as elongation factor P-TEFb). Lineage: Eukaryota; Metazoa; Chordata; Mammalia; Chiroptera; Vespertilionidae. The record is from Rfam by way of RNAcentral.
GGAUGUGAGGGCGAUCUGGCUGCGACAUCUGUCACCCCAUAGAUCGCCGGGGUUGAUUCAGCUGAUCUGGCUGGCUGGGCGGGUGUCCCCCUCCUCCCUCACCGAUCCAUGUGCGCUCGGUCGAGGAGGACGACCUUCCCCGCCCCCACCCCCCCAGGAGAGGACCGGUCUUCGGUCAAGGGGGUGCGAGUAGCUGCGCUCCCCUGCUGGAACCUCCAAACAAGCUCUCAAGAUAUGACACAGGUAUGCAGCAGGUUACUGAUAUUACCAAAGAAAGUGUAUAUGU